RNAcentral lists this ribosomal RNA (444 nucleotides) under Listeria monocytogenes. Its description in RNAcentral is "bacterial SSU rRNA". It matches the Rfam family "Bacterial small subunit ribosomal RNA", at positions 1097 to 1533 of the family's 1533-position model. Lineage: Bacteria; Bacillati; Bacillota; Bacilli; Caryophanales; Listeriaceae. The record is from RNAcentral.
CGCAACCCUUAUUGUUAGUUGCCAUCAUUUAGUUGGGCACUCUAGCGAGACUGCCGGUGACAAACCGGAGGAAGGUGGGGAUGACGUCAAAUCAUCAUGCCCCUUAUGACCUGGGCUACACACGUGCUACAAUGGGAAGUACAACGAGUUGCGAAGUCGCGAGGCUAAGCUAAUCUCUUAAAGCUUCUCUCAGUUCGGAUUGUAGGCUGCAACUCGCCUACAUGAAGCCGGAAUCGCUAGUAAUCGCGGAUCAGCACGCCGCGGUGAAUACGUUCCCGGGCCUUGUACACACCGCCCGUCACACCACGAGAGUUUGUAACACCCGAAGUCGGUGAGGUAACCUUUUUGGAGCCAGCCGCCUAAGGUGGGAUAGAUGAUUGGGGUGAAGUCGUAACAAGGUAGCCGUAUCGGAAGGUGCGGCUGGAUCACCUCCUUUCUAAGGAA